This is a small nucleolar RNA of Trematomus bernacchii (emerald rockcod), 182 nucleotides long. RefSeq annotates it as small nucleolar RNA SNORA81. The record is from RefSeq and is a predicted model, not a curated record. The transcript has a single exon. NCBI's taxonomy places the organism in Eukaryota, Metazoa, Chordata, Actinopteri, Perciformes, Nototheniidae.
ACCUUCUGCAUUAACAGAACACUGCUAUAAUUGUGUGAUCCAGAUGUAAUCUGUUUCAUGCAAUAAUGCUAGCAGAGUAUUGCGUGGAAGAAGAUUGUUAGCCACUGUAUUGAAAAUGAGAUGUGGUGGAACCUCUUUCUUAAUGUUCAGUGGCCUCUGUCUCAAGGUGCAGUGCAACACUU